This 253-nucleotide ribosomal RNA is filed under the name uncultured bacterium. RNAcentral describes it as "partial 16S ribosomal RNA". It matches the Rfam family "Bacterial small subunit ribosomal RNA", at positions 524 to 776 of the family's 1533-position model. The record is from RNAcentral.
UACGUAGGGGGCUAGCGUUGUCCGGAAUCAUUGGGCGUAAAGCGCGUGUAGGCGGUCCGGUAAGUCCGCUGUGAAAGUCGGGGGCUCAACCCUCGGAUGCCGGUGGAUACUGUCGGGCUAGAGUCCGGAAGAGGCAAGUGGAAUUCCCGGUGUAGCGGUGAAAUGCGCAGAUAUCGGGAGGAACACCAAUUGCGAAGGCAGCUUGCUGGGACGGUACUGACGCUGAGGCGCGAAAGCGUGGGGAGCAAACAGG